RNAcentral lists this long non-coding RNA (746 nucleotides) under Chrysolophus pictus (golden pheasant). RNAcentral's name for it is "lncRNA (ENSCPIG00010001332.1)". Lineage: Eukaryota; Metazoa; Chordata; Aves; Galliformes; Phasianidae. The record is from RNAcentral.
UUUUUGCUGAACUCUGCUUUCUUCCCAGUCCUCUUCUCAGCUGUGGCAACCUUUCCACGACAUCCUGCUUUGACAGAAAGAUGAACAUGUUUACCUUUGAUAGGAUGAGUUUUAGCACCUUAGGUGCACCAGGAGAGCUGUCUACCUAUCAAGCCAGCUAGACUACAGCACAAGUAAGGAGUCUGGAAGUAAAAGGGAAUUUUUUGGACAGUAGUGGAAGAACUGUUACAUUUCCAAAUUUGUAGAGGGCUAUUAAAAAUUUUGGAUGGGAAAAAAAUUAUGGAUUAAUUACUAUUAUGAUUAAUAGUUCUCAAAACUGAUUUGCUAUGUGUUGCUUCAUUGCAGAUUCCGGAUGUAUAAGGUCAUUACUAGACCAAAUAUCUCCAGCUCAGGACACACCUUUUCUGCCAGAAACUUGCUUAGCUCCAAUGUGAAUGAAUUCAUAGCUAUCUUCUAAAACAGAGAUUUGGAGAACACUGAAGGAAGUGUACAACUUUUCACAGGGACAAAGAUGCAGCUUCAUCCUGGAAACUUAGAGAUAUUCCCCCAAAGCCUUUGUUUGCCCUAAUAUUCCAUAAUGUUAGGCUUUUAGAGUCGAUAACCCAUUAGUAAUCAAGAGAUGUAUCAUUUAUUAAUUAUGCACCAUAUUAAUAUUUAAUCUUUUGGGUUGCCGAGCAUAUUUCUAAAUCUACUUUUUAAUUACAUUAAAAAAAAAUAAAUCUUCAAGGCAACCAUUAGAAAAGUCA